Molecule: long non-coding RNA, 380 nt
Organism: Hirundo rustica (Barn swallow)
Lineage: Eukaryota; Metazoa; Chordata; Aves; Passeriformes; Hirundinidae
Exons: 3
Source: RefSeq, a predicted model, not a curated record
AGUCUGCUGGUCAUGCUGUGAGGAGGAAGGGAUGGGAAGCAGAGAGCUGGAAAUGCCGAGAGAAGGAGGACAGAAAGAGCCAGAGCUGUGUGGGGUCACUCAUAGGACUGCAACAUAGCAAAGGAGGCAAGGAGCAAACUUUCUAUAAAACAGAACUUCCUCCUGCAUUUCCCACUGUAUUUCCAGAUCCCAGUGUAUAAACCAGCUACAAUCAACACUCCACUAACUUCCAUCUAUUCACAGCCUUAAACGAGAAGAAAAGUUACUGAACAAGAACUUCACACAUUUCCCAAGAAUAAUAUAAUUCAUUAUAAUGUCUAGUGUGUCAUUUGUAAUUGAGUGGAGCAUUGUUAAAUUACCAGUUUAAAAAUAACUGAGAA